Molecule: ribosomal RNA, 1036 nt
Filed under: uncultured crenarchaeote
Lineage: Archaea; Thermoproteati; Thermoproteota
Description: bacterial SSU rRNA
Rfam family: Archaeal small subunit ribosomal RNA
Source: RNAcentral
GCCGAUAAUCGAUAGAGGCCGUGAGAGCGGGAGCCUCAAGAUGGGUACUGAGACAGCGACCCAGGCCCUACGGGGCGCAGCAGGCGCGAAACCUCCACAAUGCACGCAAGUGCGAUGGGGCUACCCAAAGUGCUCCACACGGAGCUGUGGUGGAUGAGUAAUGUUCUCCGCUAGAAAGGAGAGGGCAAGGCUGGUGCCAGCCGCCGCGGUAAAACCAGCUCUUCAAGUGGUCGGGAUAAUUAUUGGGCUUAAAGUGUCCGUAGCCGGUAUGGUAAGUUCCUGGUAAAAUUGGGCAGCUUAACUGUCCUUGUGCUAGGGAUACUGCUCUACUAGAGGGCGGGAGAGGUCUGAGGUACUACAGGGGUAGGGGUGAAAUCUUAUAAUCCUUGUAGGACCACCAGUGGCGAAAGCGUCAGACUGGAACGCGCCUGACGGUGAGGGACGAAAGCCAGGGGAGCGAACCGGAUUAGGUACCCGGGUAGUCCUGGCCGUAAACGAUGCGCACUAGGUGAUGGUGCGGCUAUGAGCCGCAUCAGUGUCGUAGGGAAACCGUUAAGUGUGCCGCCUGGGAAGUACGGUCGCAAGGCUUAAACUUAAAGGAAUUGGCGGGGGAGCACCACAAGGGGUGAAGCCUGCGGUUCAAUUGGACUCAACGCCGGGCAACUUACCAGGGGAGACAGCAGAGUGAGGGUCAGGUUGGCGACCUUACUCGACGAGCUGAGAGGAGGUGCAUGGCCGUCGCCAGUUCGUGCUGUGAGGUAUCCUGUUAAGUCAGGCAACGAACGAGAUCCGCGCCUUUAUUUGCCAUCAAGAAGUCACGACUUCGUUGGGAACACUAAAGGGACCGCCGUCGAUAAGACGGAGGAAGGAGCGGGCAAAGGCAGGUCAGUAUGCCCCGAAACCCCUGGGCUACACGCGGGCUGCAAUGGUGCGAACAAUGGGCUGUAACUCCGAAAGGAGAAACCAAUCCCGAAAUCGCAUCUCAGUGGGGAUUGUCGACUGUAACUCGUUGACAUGAACGUGGAAUCCCUAGUAA